This 1363-nucleotide ribosomal RNA is filed under the name Escherichia coli. Its description in RNAcentral is "partial 23S ribosomal RNA". It matches the Rfam family "Bacterial large subunit ribosomal RNA", at positions 812 to 2157 of the family's 2925-position model. Lineage: Bacteria; Pseudomonadati; Pseudomonadota; Gammaproteobacteria; Enterobacterales; Enterobacteriaceae. The record is from RNAcentral.
UGGCUGGGGGUGAAAGGCCAAUCAAACCGGGAGAUAGCUGGUUCUCCCCGAAAGCUAUUUAGGUAGCGCCUCGUGAAUUCAUCUCCGGGGGUAGAGCACUGUUUCGGCAAGGGGGUCAUCCCGACUUACCAACCCGAUGCAAACUGCGAAUACCGGAGAAUGUUAUCACGGGAGACACACGGCGGGUGCUAACGUCCGUCGUGAAGAGGGAAACAACCCAGACCGCCAGCUAAGGUCCCAAAGUCAUGGUUAAGUGGGAAACGAUGUGGGAAGGCCCAGACAGCCAGGAUGUUGGCUUAGAAGCAGCCAUCAUUUAAAGAAAGCGUAAUAGCUCACUGGUCGAGUCGGCCUGCGCGGAAGAUGUAACGGGGCUAAACCAUGCACCGAAGCUGCGGCAGCGACGCUUAUGCGUUGUUGGGUAGGGGAGCGUUCUGUAAGCCUGUGAAGGUGUGCUGUGAGGCAUGCUGGAGGUAUCAGAAGUGCGAAUGCUGACAUAAGUAACGAUAAAGCGGGUGAAAAGCCCGCUCGCCGGAAGACCAAGGGUUCCUGUCCAACGUUAAUCGGGGCAGGGUGAGUCGACCCCUAAGGCGAGGCCGAAAGGCGUAGUCGAUGGGAAACAGGUUAAUAUUCCUGUACUUGGUGUUACUGCGAAGGGGGGACGGAGAAGGCUAUGUUGGCCGGGCGACGGUUGUCCCGGUUUAAGCGUGUAGGCUGGUUUUCCAGGCAAAUCCGGAAAAUCAAGGCUGAGGCGUGAUGACGAGGCACUACGGUGCUGAAGCAACAAAUGCCCUGCUUCCAGGAAAAGCCUCUAAGCAUCAGGUAACAUCAAAUCGUACCCCAAACCGACACAGGUGGUCAGGUAGAGAAUACCAAGGCGCUUGAGAGAACUCGGGUGAAGGAACUAGGCAAAAUGGUGCCGUAACUUCGGGAGAAGGCACGCUGAUAUGUAGGUGAAGCGACUUGCUCGUGGAGCUGAAAUCAGUCGAAGAUACCAGCUGGCUGCAACUGUUUAUUAAAAACACAGCACUGUGCAAACACGAAAGUGGACGUAUACGGUGUGACGCCUGCCCGGUGCCGGAAGGUUAAUUGAUGGGGUCAGCGCAAGCGAAGCUCUUGAUCGAAGCCCCGGUAAACGGCGGCCGUAACUAUAACGGUCCUAAGGUAGCGAAAUUCCUUGUCGGGUAAGUUCCGACCUGCACGAAUGGCGUAAUGAUGGCCAGGCUGUCUCCACCCGAGACUCAGUGAAAUUGAACUCGCUGUGAAGAUGCAGUGUACCCGCGGCAAGACGGAAAGACCCCGUGAACCUUUACUAUAGCUUGACACUGAACAUUGAGCCUUGAUGUGUAGGAUAGGUGGGAGGCUU